CUAGAACUUAUCUCUUACAAGUUUACAAGUCUCAAGUCUCUUUUUUUUUGGCAUUCAACUAUUUUUGAUACAAAAAAACCAAAAGGCAUUUAACAUUCAACAAUUUAACAUUCCCAGAAGCUAACUUCAUUUCAAUUCAACUAAACCCAAAACUACAACUAAUUGCCUUAAAAUAGCAAAUUUAAAAUUUAAAAUUUAAAAUUGAUUUAGAAAAAGCUACAAAUUUGGAUGUGACCCCCAAGAACAUGUCGAAGUCUUAGUCUUAGCUACCUAUCAACCUAAUAUCCUACUCGCUAUUAUCUACUUAUAUCUAGAAACCUAAAUGAUCAAAUUUGAUCGCCUUUGCGAUUGCCAUGAGGCUCUUGGCGAACGGGACAGGUGAGCACAGGU
RNAcentral lists this long non-coding RNA (390 nucleotides) under Drosophila guanche. Lineage: Eukaryota; Metazoa; Arthropoda; Insecta; Diptera; Drosophilidae. The record is from RNAcentral.